Long non-coding RNA from Oncorhynchus keta (chum salmon), 1982 nucleotides. RefSeq lists it as uncharacterized. NCBI's taxonomy places the organism in Eukaryota, Metazoa, Chordata, Actinopteri, Salmoniformes, Salmonidae. The transcript has 8 exons. The record is from RefSeq and is a predicted model, not a curated record.
CUGGACCUCCAAGCCAGUUCCACUGCUUGUUUCCCCCAUCGUUCCCAGGGACACGAGGUCUAGAGAGACAGAGUCUAGACAGUAUGUAUAAUGACCAGGUAGAACAGAUUUAAAUACCCCUAGACAGUAUGUAUAAUGACCAGGUAGAACAGAUUUAAAUACCCCUAGACAGUAUGUAUAAUGACCAGGUAGAACAGAUUUAAAUACCCCUAGACAGUAUGUAUAAUGAUCAGGUAGAACAGAACAGAUUUAAAUACCCCUAGACAGUAUGGAUAAUGACCAGGUAGAACAGAUUUAAAUACCCCUAGACAGUAUGGAUAAUGAUCAGGUAGAACAGAUUUAAAUACCCCUAGACAGUAUGGAUAAUGAUCAGGUAGAACAGAUUUAAAUACCCCUAGACAGUAUGGAUAAUGAUCAGGUAGAACAGAACAGAUUUAAAUACCCCUAGACAGUAUGGAUAAUGAUCAGGUAGAACAGAUUUAAAUACCCCUAGACAGUAUGUAUAAUGAUCAGGCAGAACAGAUUUAAAUACCCCUAGACAGUAUGGAUAAUGAUCAGGUAGAACAGAACAGAUUUAAAUACCCCUAGACAGUAUGGAUAAUGAUCAGGUAGAACAGAUUUAAAUACCCCUAGACAGUAUGGAUAAUGAUCAGGUAGAACAGAUUUAAAUACCCCUAGACAGUAUGGAUAAUGAUCAGGUAGAACAGAACAGAUUUAAAUACCCCUAGACAGUAUGGAUAAUGAUCAGGUAGAACAGAACAGAUUUAAAUACCCCUAGACAGUAUGGAUAAUGAUCAGGUAGAACAGAUUUAAAUACCCCUAGACAGUAUGUAUAAUGAUCAGGUAGAACAGAUUUAAAUACCCCUAGACAGUAUGGAUAAUGAUCAGGUAGAACAGAUUUAAAUACCCCUAGACAGUAUGGAUAAUGAUCAGGUAGAACAGAACAGAUUUAAAUACCCCUAGACAGUAUGGAUAAUGAUCAGGUAGAACAGAUUUAAAUACCCCUAGACAGUAUGGAUAAUGAUCAGGUAGAACAGAUUUAAAUACCCCUAGACAGUAUGGAUAAUGAUCAGGUAGAACAGAACAGAUUUAAAUACCCCUAGACAGUAUGGAUAAUGAUCAGGUAGAACAGAACAGAUUUAAAUACCCCUAGACAGUAUGGAUAAUGACCAGGUAGAACAGAACAGAUUUAAAUACCCCUAGACAGUAUGGAUAAUGAUCAGGUAGAACAGAUUUAAAUACCCCUAGACAGUAUGGAUAAUGAUCAGGUAGAACAGAACAGAUUUAAAUACCCCUAGACAGUAUGGAUAAUGAUCAGGUAGAACAGAUUUAAAUACCCCUAGACAGUAUGGAUAAUGAUCAGGUAGAACAGAACAGAUUUAAAUACCCCUAGACAGUAUGGAUAAUGAUCAGGUAGAACAGAUUUAAAUACCCCUAGACAGUAUGGAUAAUGAUCAGGUAGAACAGAACAGAUUUAAAUACCCCUAGACAGUAUGUAUAAUGACCAGGUAGAACAGAUUUAAAUACCCCUAGACAGUAUGGAUAAUGAUCAGGUAGAACAGAACAGAUUUAAAUAACCCUAGACAGUAUGUAUAAUGACCAGGUAGAACAGAACAGAUUUAAAUAACCCUAGACAGUAUGUAUAAUGAUCAGGUAGAACAGAACAGAUUUAAAUAACCCUAGACAGUAUGGAUAAUGAUCAGGUAGAACAGAUUUAAAUACCCCUAGACAGUAUGGAUAAUGAUCAGGUAGAACAGAACAGAUUUAAAUAACCCUAGACAGUAUGUAUAAUGACCAGGUAGAACAGAACAGAUUUAAAUACCCCUAGACAGUAUGGAUAAUGAUCAGGUAGAACAGAACAGAUUUAAAUACCCCUAGACAGUAUGGAUAAUGAUCAGGUAGAACAGAUUUAAAUACCCCUAGACAGUAUGGAUAAUGAUCAGGUAGAACAGAACAGAUUUAAAUACCCCUAGACAGUAUGU